GAAAUGCGAUAAGUAAUGUGAAUUGCAGAAUUCAGUGAAUCAUCGAAUCUUUGAACGCACCUUGCGCUCCUUGGUAUUCCUUGGAGCAUGCCUGUUUGAGUAUCAUGAAAUCUUCAAAGUAAAUCUUUUGUUAACUCAAUUGGUUUCUACUUUGGUAUUGGAGGUCUUUGCAGCUUCACACCUGCUCCUCUUUGUUCAUUAGCUGGAUCUCAGUGUUAUGCUUGGUUCCACUCGGCGUGAUAAGUUAUCUAUCGCUGAGGACACUGUAAAAGGUGGCCAAGGUAAAUGCAGAUGAACCGCUUCUAAUAGUCCAUUGACUUGGACAAUACUUUUAUGAUCUGAUCUCAAAUCAGUUAGGACUACCCGCUGAACUUAAGC
RNAcentral lists this unclassified non-coding RNA (378 nucleotides) under plant metagenome. RNAcentral describes it as "partial contains 5.8S ribosomal RNA, internal transcribed spacer 2, and large subunit ribosomal RNA". The stretch from base 1 to 105 matches the Rfam family "5.8S ribosomal RNA", at positions 50 to 154 of the family's 154-position model. The record is from RNAcentral.